ACCACAAUAUACAGCUACUACUCAGCAAAUGGAACAGAGGGGGAGAGAUCAGCAAACAAUAAACCAGAAAUCCCAGCAAAUUGGAUACAGGCUGUGGAAGAACUCAAAACACAACUAAGAGAGGCUGAAGACAAUUGGGAAAAGAACUUAAAAAUUAAGAUGUCAUCUGGAAACAGAGGCACUUGAACUAAAAUAAGAAAAUAGUGUCUUGAAAGCCAAAAUCAACCAGCUGGAAAAUGAGGCAAAGGAGGUGAAAGAUGAGGCAAAGGAAAUGAAAGAUGAGGUAAAGAGGAUGAAAGACGAUCUACAAAGAAAAUCAGACCAGAAGGAUAAAGACGACCGAAAAGCCAGAGAUGAAAUCCAAUCUUUAAGAACCAGAAUACAACAACUAGAAUCAAGUGACCUCACAAGGCAGCAGGACACUAUGAAACAAAACAAAAAGAAUGAAAAAUUGAGGAAAAUGUGAAGCAUCUCAUUCACAAAACAGAUGAUCUAGAAAAUUGUUCAAGAAGAAACAAUUUAAGAAUAAUUGGACUACCAGAAGACCACAACAAAAGAAAAAGCCUGGACAUAAUACUAGAAGAAAUUAUCCAGGAAAACUGUCCCGAGAUCCUAGAAUAAGAGGGGAAAGUGGAGAUUGAAAGAAUCAACAGAUCACCCCCUGUAUUUAAUCCCCAACUGACAACACCAAGAAAUGUUAUAGCCAAAUUCAAAAACAAUCAGAUGAAAGAAAAGAUAUUACAAGCUGCCAAGAAGAAGCCAUUCAGAUACCAUGGAAACAUGGUGAAGUUAACACAGGAUCUAGCUGCAUCCACACUGAAGGACCGAAAGGUAUGGAAUACAAUAUUCCAGAAAGCAAGGGAACUAGGUCUACAACCAAGAAUAAAAUACCCAUCAAAACUGACUAUAUUCUUACAGGGGAAAGUAUGGUCAUUCAAAACAACAGAAGAGUUCCAAGCAUUCAUAAAGAAAAGACCAGACCUGAACAGAAAAUUUGAUGUCCAAGAACAGAACUCAAGAGAAUCAUCAAAAGGGGAAAAGAUUCUUCAGGAUCAAGAACUGGAAGACAUGGUGCAUAGCCUAGAGAAGAAUGGGAGGAAGACCACAUGGCAGUAGCAAAAACAAGUUACAAUUAUUUCUAAUUUAAUAAUUCAAUUUAUUCAAAAUUCAAAUGAACCUCAAAAUCUUGACUUUAAUUGUUUUCAGCAUCACUAACACCUCCACUAGAGGGCAGGCAAGGGCAUGUAGAGAAAACUGAAACAUUCUUAUGAAUGUUUGGUAGGGCAGAAUUUUUCAGACUUUGUUUAUUUUUUUAUUAUUUUUAAUAAUUUGUUUAUUAUUUGUUUAUUAUUAAUUUUGUUUGUUUAUUUUGUUUGUUUAUUAUUAAUUCCCUGUAUGGAACAAGAAGAUACUGA
Molecule: long non-coding RNA, 1415 nt
Filed under: Monodelphis domestica (gray short-tailed opossum)
Lineage: Eukaryota; Metazoa; Chordata; Mammalia; Didelphimorphia; Didelphidae
Description: lncRNA (ENSMODG00000032965.2)
Source: RNAcentral